GGGGCUGUAGCUCAGUGGUAUAGUGCUUGCCUCACAUGCAUGAGGCACUAGGUUCAAGCCUCAGCACCA
This 69-nucleotide transfer RNA is filed under the name Ictidomys tridecemlineatus (thirteen-lined ground squirrel). Its description in RNAcentral is "Spermophilus tridecemlineatus (thirteen-lined ground squirrel) tRNA". It matches the Rfam family "tRNA". Rfam says of the family: Transfer RNA (tRNA) molecules are approximately 80 nucleotides in length. Their secondary structure includes four short double-helical elements and three loops (D, anti-codon, and T loops). Further hydrogen bonds mediate the characteristic L-shaped molecular structure. tRNAs have two regions of fundamental functional importance: the anti-codon, which is responsible for specific mRNA codon recognition, and the 3' end, to which the tRNAs corresponding amino acid is attached (by aminoacyl-tRNA synthetases). tRNAs cope with the degeneracy of the genetic code in two manners: having more than one tRNA (with a specific anti-codon) for a particular amino acid; and 'wobble' base-pairing, i.e. permitting non-standard base-pairing at the 3rd anti-codon position. The record is from Rfam by way of RNAcentral. RNAcentral also lists the same sequence under 1 other name. Lineage: Eukaryota; Metazoa; Chordata; Mammalia; Rodentia; Sciuridae.